Phyllostomus discolor (pale spear-nosed bat) is the source of this 116-nucleotide long non-coding RNA. RefSeq lists it as uncharacterized. Lineage: Eukaryota; Metazoa; Chordata; Mammalia; Chiroptera; Phyllostomidae. The record is from RefSeq and is a predicted model, not a curated record. The transcript has 2 exons.
CUAGGGGCAAGGAGCUCAGCACUGCUGCUGGGUAGAAACAAGGUGCUGGGCCCGAUAAAACAAGCUGGAGGGCCGAAUUCAGCCCUCGGGCCUUGUGUUUGCCACCUGUGCUUUAG